CGAGGAAUAUUGCGCAAUGGGGGCAACCCUGACGCAGUGACGCCGCGUGAGUGAUGAAGGCUUUCGGGUCGUAAAGCUCUGUUAGGUGGAAAGAAACAUCCCGGCGCUAAUAUCGUCGGGACUUGACGGUACCACCAGAGGAAGCACCGGCUAACUCCGUGCCAGCAGCCGCGGUAAUACGGAGGGUGCAAGCGUUGUUCGGAUUUACUGGGCGUAAAGGGCGUGUAGGCGGUUGGCUAAGUCAGAUGUGAAAUCCCUUGGCUUAACCAAGGAACGGCAUUUGAAACUAGCUAACUAGAGUACAGGAGAGGAAAGUGGAAUUCCCAGUGUAGAGGUGAAAUUCAUAGAUAUUGGGAGGAACACCGGUAGCGAAGGCGGCUUUCUGGUCUGAUACUGACGCCGAGACGCGAAAGCGUGGGUAGCAAACAG
Molecule: ribosomal RNA, 429 nt
Filed under: uncultured bacterium
Lineage: Bacteria
Description: bacterial SSU rRNA
Rfam family: Bacterial small subunit ribosomal RNA
Source: RNAcentral